AAUAGAUACCCGGGUAGUCCACGCCGUAAACGAUGAGUGCUAAGUGUUAGAGGGUUUCCGCCCUUUAGUGCUGCAGCUAACGCAUUAAGCACUCCGCCUGGGGAGUACGGUCGCAAGACUGAAACUCAAAGGAAUUGACGGGGGCCCGCACAAGCGGUGGAGCAUGUGGUUUAAUUCGAAGCAACGCGAAGAACCUUACCAGGUCUUGACAUCCCACUGACCCGGUAUAGAGAUAUACCUUUCCCUUCGGGGACAGUGGUGACAGGUGGUGCAUGGUUGUCGUCAGCUCGUGUCGUGAGAUGUCGGGUUAAGUCCCGCAACGAGCGCAACCCUUGAUCUUAGUUGCCAGCAUUUAGUUGGGCACUCUAAGGUGACUGCCGGUGGCAAACCGGAGGAAGGUGGGGAUGACGUCAAAUCAUCAUGCCCCUUAUGACCUGGGCUACACACGUGCUACAAUGGAUGGUACAAAGGGCUGCAAGACUGCGAAGUCAAGCCAAUCCAUAAACCAUUCUCAGUUCGGAUUGCAGG
This 528-nucleotide ribosomal RNA is filed under the name uncultured bacterium. RNAcentral's name for it is "bacterial SSU rRNA". It matches the Rfam family "Bacterial small subunit ribosomal RNA", at positions 777 to 1304 of the family's 1533-position model. The record is from RNAcentral.